This is an RNA transcript of Ipomoea triloba (trilobed morning glory), 3339 nucleotides long. It is a transcript of the gene named auxin response factor 2A-like, with no coding region annotated. Lineage: Eukaryota; Viridiplantae; Streptophyta; Magnoliopsida; Solanales; Convolvulaceae. The record is from RefSeq and is a predicted model, not a curated record. The transcript has 16 exons.
CAUAACGCUACUAGCCCAUCCUCUGCGCACACACACACACAGAGCUGAUGUAGAGAGAGAAACUAGAGUGAGAAAGCUUUGGAAUCUAGAGAAUUUCCAGUUGAUUGAGGUGAUUUUGGUGUUGUGUCUGACUGAACAUCUGUUUUUGGAGAAUCGCGUGGGGGAUGUGAGAUCCGUAUCUUGCGAAGCUCCUCGAAGGUUCGGAAAUGGCUACUACAGAGGCUUCGGCGGCCGCGGGCAGGGGUUACGCUGAGUCGAGUUGUGGCUCGUGUGCGCCGGCUCCUGACGGUGGUCGGAGUGUCUCCGGAGCCGGUAAAGAUGUUGAGAGAGCGUUGUACACGGAGCUAUGGCGGGCUUGUGCCGGGCCGCUGGUGACAGUGCCACGUGAGCAGGAGCUGGUGUUCUAUUUCCCGCAAGGUCAUAUCGAGCAGGUUGAAGCAUCAACUAAUCAAGUGGCAGAGCAGCAGAUGCCAAUCUAUAAGCUUCCUUGGAAGAUCCUUUGCCGCGUGGUUAAUGUCCUGUUGAAGGCUGAAGCAGAUACUGAUGAGGUUUAUGCACAAGUAACAUUGAUGCCGGAAGAAAAUCAAGAUGAGAAUGCAAUUAAGAAGGAAACCGUGCCACCUUCACCGCCACAUGUUCAAGUACAUUCCUUUUGUAAGACGCUUACAGCCUCAGAUACCAGCACCCAUGGAGGAUUUUCAGUGCUGAGACGGCAUGCUGAUGAGUGUCUCCCACCAUUGGACAUGUCACGGCAGCCUCCAAGCCAGGAGCUGGUGGCCAGGGAUCUGCAUGGAAGUGAGUGGCGCUUCAGGCAUAUAUUUCGGGGACAACCACGGAGGCACCUCCUUCAAAGUGGUUGGAGUGUCUUUGUUAGUUCAAAAAGGCUUGUUGCUGGUGAUGCCUUCAUAUUUUUAAGAGGUGAGAAUGGGGAGCUUCUUGUUGGGGUUAGACGCACGAUGAGGCAUCAGAAUAACAUUCCAUCAUCUGUUAUAUCCAGUCACAGUAUGCAUCUUGGUGUGCUGGCAACAGCAUGGCAUGCCAUUCAGACUAAAACCAUGUUUACGGUGUAUUACAAACCUAGGACAAGCCCCGCAGAAUUUAUUAUUCCACAUGACCAAUAUAUGGAGUCUGUGAAAAACAACUAUUCCAUUGGAAUGAGGUUCAAAAUGAGGUUUGAAGGGGAAGAAGCUCCGGAGCAGAAGUUUACUGGAACUAUCGUUGGAAUUGAAGAUUGUGAUCACCAAAGGUGGCCGGAAUCGAAAUGGAGAUGCCUCAAGGUGCGGUGGGAUGAAACUUCCACCAUUCCUAGGCCGGACCGAGUUUCACCUUGGCAAAUAGAGCCCUCUCUUUGUCCAUCUGCACUUAAUCCACUUCCUGUACCAAGAACAAAAAGGCCUCGAUUGAAUGCUUUUCCAUCUUCACCUGAUUCAUCUGUUCUUACAAGAGAAGGUUCAUCCAAACUAUCUAUAGACCCCUCUCCUGCCAGUGGGUUUUCAAGGGUCUUGCAAGGUCAAGAAUUAUCGACCUUGAGAGGUGCCUUUGCAGAAAGUAAGGAGUCAGAAUCAUCUGAGAAGCCAACACCAUGUCCACCAUCUGUGAAUGAUGAGAAGCUUGAUGAUCUUUAUGCAUCACACCGCUGUAGUUCAAAUAAACGUUUGUCUUUAGGGAGGCCAGAGUCAUCAUUUACAGCUCUUCUAUCAUCAGGUUUUGGGAUGUACAUUAAUUCGUCCCAUGGCCUUUCUUUACAGUCAGGGGAUCAAAUGCCAGUUCCUGCUAGUUUGGUGAAGCAACAAACUAAAUAUCAGGAGGGGGAGUUUAACUUACUUGGAAAACCAUGGCCUGCUGUACCCUCUGCCUCUGGUCUAUCACUUAAUUUGAUGGAUUCAAGCAGAAAACCUCAUGGACAGGGUUCUGAUACACCUUAUCAGGCACCAGGAGACUCUAGGCGUGGUGGCUUAAGUGAGUAUUCAAUGCUACCUGGUCAUAGACUUGAAAGUCAGCAGGGGAACUGGUUUAUGCCUCCAACUUCUUAUCUGCAAAUACCUGCUCAUUCUAGAGAACUGAUGCCAAAACCAGUAUCAGUACAACAGCAUGAGGCAUUUGAACCAAAAAAGGGGAACUGCAAACUAUUUGGCAUACCUCUGAUUAGCAAUUCUUCUUCAAUGGGUCCUAUGUUAAGUGAAAAUCCAAUGACUGAGUCAAUAGUCCAUAGUGAUUUGGGUAUAUCCUCUCAUCAGUCACCUGCAACUGAAUCUGAACAAAGGUCUGAGCAAUCAAAGGACUCUAAAGUGAUAAAUAGAGUUACAGGCAAUGAGAAGGAAAAAGAACUUCAAACCUUUCAUGUUGAUGGUAGAGGAAGGGCGGGCAAGGUCUGCAGUGGUUCAACAAGGAGUUGCACCAAGGUUCAUAAACAGGGCACUGCCCUUGGUAGGUCCGUAUAUCUUGCCAAGUACAACAACUAUGAUGAAUUGAUUGCUGAACUGGACAAUCUGUUUGAUUUUAAUGGUGAACUUAAGGCACGGAACAGCAAUUGGAUGGUUGUGUAUACUGAUGGUGAGGGUGACAUGAUGCUUGUGGGAGAUGAUCCGUGGCAAGAAUUUUGUGCUAUGGUUCAUAAGAUUCAUCUCUACACAAAAGAGGAGGUGCAGCAUAUGAAGCCAGGAACUCUGAAUUCAAAGGAUGAGGAUACAUCAUUGAUUGCAGGAUUGGACACUAUGGAAGUGAAGGGUUUGCUGCCUCCUCCAGUGUCCAGUGCUGAGUAAUGUUGAUUUCUCCUCAGAUCUAGGUUGAUAAUGCUGCCAGGAGAAGAUUUCAGGUUGUUUGAUUUUUUGGGGAUGCUUGAAUGCUGUGAGAUGCAUGUAUCAUUGCAGCUUCUUAUAUUUUUGCAAUUUUGGACCCCUUGGAAGCCAACUUAUGGUUCCAUAUUCUAUACAUAGUAUGUAUGUAUAUUGCCAUUAAUGAGUUCCUUACAAGUCCCAUUUACAUUCACACUGUAUUGCUCCUUAACUGAUUGAACGGAUGCUGAUUCUUGUGGAAGAAUGUAUCAAAAUACAUUUUUUUAAAGGAUCAAAGUAACCAAAGAGUUGCCAAAAGACUUUGUGGUAUAGUGGUACUUGAUUGCACCUCCACAUGGAAAGGAGUGGGUUCGAGCCUAAUGGAGGCGAUAAAUAGAUAUUAAAUUGUAAUAGUGUUUUGUUCAAUUUAGUUUUUCUACCUUAACUUUGUUCAAUUUAGUCCUUUAUUUUAAAAAGUGAAACAAAAGGACAAUAGAUGAUGUGGUGUUGAAAUCAUUUUUGUGUGUGUUUUAUAUUUAAUGCAUGGACAAUGGUUUUUUGUUUA